RNAcentral lists this ribosomal RNA (490 nucleotides) under uncultured bacterium. RNAcentral describes it as "partial 16S ribosomal RNA". It matches the Rfam family "Bacterial small subunit ribosomal RNA", at positions 30 to 507 of the family's 1533-position model. The record is from RNAcentral.
AUUGAACGCUGGCGGCAGGCCUAACACAUGCAAGUCGAACGGUAACAGGAAACAGCUUGCUGUUUCGCUGACGAGUGGCGGACGGGUGAGUAAUGUCUGGGAAACUGCCUGAUGGAGGGGGAUAACUACUGGAAACGGUAGCUAAUACCGCAUAACGUCGCAAGACCAAAGAGGGGGACCCUCGGGCCUCUUGCCAUCGGAUGUGCCCAGAUGGGAUUAGCUUGUUGGUGGGGUAACGGCUCACCAAGGCGACGAUCCCUAGCUGGUCUGAGAGGAUGACCAGCCACACUGGAACUGAGACACGGUCCAGACGCCUACGGGAGGCAGCAGUGGGGAAUAUUGCACAAUGGGGGCAAGCCUGAUGCAGCCAUGCCGCGUGUAUGAAGAAGGCCUUCGGGUUGUAAAGUACUUUCAGCGGGGAGGAAGGGAGUAAAGUUAAUACCUUUGCUCAUUGACGUUACCCGCAGAAGAAGCACCGGCUAACUCCGUG